Rattus norvegicus (Norway rat) is the source of this 4887-nucleotide non-coding RNA. NCBI's taxonomy places the organism in Eukaryota, Metazoa, Chordata, Mammalia, Rodentia, Muridae. The record is from RefSeq and is a predicted model, not a curated record.
GUAGAAAGUGGAUGUAGAGUUCUGCAAGCUCACACUGUGAGAGCAUCCUUCACAUCCCAAAGGCCUGUUAUCCUGGGAAAGGGUCAGACAAGCUUCGACAGCUGGCCUCAAAGCUUGAAGUCAAUGGAAUAGACUGGUACUUCAAAGAAGUGGACCACUGUUUUCUACAAGAAAAAAACACCUCAGCGUUUUUUAUGCUGCCCAAUGCUGGAAUGUUAUGUUGGAAAGGUGUGUGAUAUGGUUAAGAUCAAAUCAGUCCAAGAUUUUUUAAAGUGGCAAUAUAUGUCCCGACAGACUGAAAUCUAAUGCCUUGCAGAGUCAAUAAGUCCAAACUUUCAAUCUGUUUUCUCUGAGCCUGGAUUCUACUCUGUCCACACAUACAUUGGAUGUGUUAUGCUAUGAAUAUGAAUGUUGUGUAUUUUACCACUUAGUCCCAUGUGUCAUGGUGCCACCCUGGAAGAUUGUGAAGCCUUAUGGGCAAAAACCUACUACCUAGAAGAGGUAGGUUACUGAUAGGAAGAGCAUAGACAAUACGGAGCACCACCGCUUACAUGCAGUUUUCUCUCUCCUGGACCACGGAAAUAACAAAUGCACAUACGCUCGAAACUUCUUGAGAAGUUCACUCCAAAUUCAGAUGUCCAGCAUGAGGCGAAAACAGAACGCAGAAUAUGUAAGGGAUAAAUGAACCACAGGCAUGCAGCCAAAUGCUCCUAAAAAUGUCCUGGGUGAUGAGUAUUAAUGCAACCCACAAGAGAGUCAUCGGUUUUGAAGAGAAAAACAGCUGAAAUCUGAUGAAGCCACACACACAUUGUUUGGAAUAAACAAUGAGCAGCACGUACAUUUUACCAGCUUGUUUGGAUACAAGUCUACCGUUAGGCACGGUGAUAGUAAGUAGAGAGAUGCGGUGGGAGCCCCUCCCCAUAACUCCUCGCCACGAUUUGAAGACAUUAUGCACUUAGAUAUUUCUAUAAGAGGGAUUUAUGAUUUAUUUGUGUAUAGAGAAGCUACAGGAAAAGAGAAAGGGAAGCAAGGCCUGCUGGUUCUACUUACGGACAAGGAAACUUAAAUUGUCAGAUUGCUUAACUGAGCUCUCCAAGUCUGCCCGAAGUGAAGAACAGACUUCGGAUAUAAUCCACAAAGCCCGGGCCUCUAAACAAAACCAGUGACUGAAUGCCCACUUCAAGUUGGCACAGAGAGGCUCCAAGGUUGAGAGUCUGCAGCUUUAAAUUCUCUAAAGAAAAAAAAAAACCCUUUCAAAAAUAUAGUUACAGCGCACUAAUUAACGUGUUCCGACAUCCCUCCACUUCAGUCACCUCGAGAGUCUAAAAUUGUUACUGCCACUUAGCCUGGCUUGGCAGUCCUCGCCCCUCAGAAUGGAGCCCUGGUGGUCUUUCUGACAAGCUAAAACAGAGACAUACUUCUGCAGACAUGAAAGAUCCCUUCUGUGAACUGUGUUGAACACUCGGUGUUUUAUUAAAUGGUCUGGGAUUUUUUUCUCUACAUAUCUCUUCUUUCCCAGACACAGUCAACCUUUUUUUUUUCUUUUAAAUCAAGGCCACUUUCCAGAGUCAUUACCCAUCACAAAUUCUAUAAUUUUAAAUGAGCGGUUUUUUUCCCUGUAAUUCAAAAGAUAACUCAUUCCUAUUUCCAACAUUUAAUGUAUUUUUUUCUCUUCUUUUUUUUUCCCUGAAAGCAAUAUACGUGUGUAAUUAAUAAACAAUUUAGUGUGUUGAGGAACCUAGGAAGUUGGCAAAUGUUCUGGGGAUAUGAAAUCUCAAGAAAAGCAGCACAUUAUAAGAAAUACUAAGUAAUUACUUAUGUAAGCUUUCUUUUUAAAUUCUAAGAACAUUAACUACUAAUUACCUACUAAUUACCAGUACUUCAGCAGGUGUUUGCACUUAACUGUAGGCUAAAGCCCCUGUGAAAAACAAGCGCCUCACAGCCUCUCUCUAGAGCACAGCCAGUCCCGCUGGACCAGAAGCACACCACGGGCUCCGCAGCGCUGGUCACAAGCCAAUGCCUGCACCAUUUGGCUGCCUCAGGUGACAAAGCCAAGCCGGGUCUGUCUGUUUCCCUUUGUCUUCUCUCCAAACGCUACCAUUAUCGAGGAGUGAGGAAAGAUUCCGGUGAUAGCAUCCAGGUAUCUGGGGUUGCACACAAACUAUGAUGAAGAGGCCUUUGUCAGGAAGACAUCCUUCUCACUUCCGGUGAAGCUGUCUUGUGUGGCCGCCUGGCUGGGGCAGUCUUGCCUCCUUCCAGUGUUUCCUCUGGAAAGGAGUGUGCGUUUAGUCCAUCGUAUUUAUCUAGCUUUGAAAAUGAUCGUGAGUCUCCCUUCCAACUGAAAAAGGGAUUCUUCGACUCUACCCUUCUCAGAGCUCUAGAAAUUAAAGGCGUUCCAUAUUUACCAAGGGCUGGGAGGGUCAGGUCCCUCUGCACACAGUGCCAGCUCUCGGCCCAGACCUGAGCAUUGCGUGACUUACCAGAGUCAAGAGUUAGGUUUUUUCCCCCCGACUCCGUGUUCCUUUCCGUUUUUCUUUUUUCCCCCUUUCUUUUAUGUGUUUUUUGGUUCCUUGGUUUUGUUUGGUCCUCUGAGGCAGGCACUUUCUAUGCAGCCAAGCCUGGACUCAAACUGGAGGUCUCUUAGCUCCUGCCUGCCCAGUUCUGGAGUUACAGUUAUACACCACCAGCCUGUGUGCCCACGCCUAAACAGCUACUCCUUUAGGACACUUCAAAGAUGCCUCUGCCGUUCCUUGCUUCGACUGGAAAGGGAUGCGGGAACGCACGAUCUCACCGGAAAUCCACCAGACGGUGUUCAGUCCUGCCAGGACCAUCUUCCAGAGCACUCCCUGCCUCAUGCUUCAGUUUCCUGCGGCUACCAUAAGGAAUUACCAUGGCCUGCGGCUUACAGCCACAGAGAUGUAUCCUCGCACAGUUAUGGAGAUCAGAAUUAUGAAAUCAAGAUGUCAGUGGGGAUUCUGGGAAAGAGUCUGUCUUCCACUAGCUUCCAAGCAGUGCUUGGCUGGUGCCUGCAUUUGUAGCACCUUCUUUCAACUUCAGUCUAAUGCUCCACGACGCCUUCUGAAAGAUACAUGUCAUUAGAUUCAGCGUCCACCCAGAUAAUCUAGGCUGCUCUCAGUUUCAGAUCCUUAAGUUAAUGGCAUAUGCAUAGACAUCUUUUCCAACUGAGAUCAUAGUAGCAGAUUUGAAGGAUUUAGAUAUGGACAUUUCUACAGAGGUCAUCACCACCAGACUACUGUCUCUGUAAGUGAUCUUUAAUGUGUUCAUUUAUUCAAUUUUAUCAAAACUUGUGCUGUUUCAGAUGGAGAUUGUUGUAACAAGAUCAACUAGGCCUUUAUUCUCACAGAGUUUAUCUAUGAUCUCCCAACCAACAUCAUCUAUUUUGUCUACUACCCAGUUUAGAAAUACAUCCAUCCUUAGAUGCUAUGAUCCAGUACAGGCACUCAAACACAUAACUCUUCGAAAAUCUGGUGAAAUCAUAGCACGUGUGCAUGUUGGGGAAACAAGGGAUGCGUGUGAAAAGCUUCAAGCUUUCAGAAGAACAAGAAAGAACCACACAGAUGUGUAAAUUUUAUAAAACCAUUGUGUAUUGUAAUUGAAAUGCCAAAACAGUGAAGAAUCCAAUGUUGGUGAGGAGACAGACAUUAGUGUAAUGGGCAUCGGCUCUGUCUUUGUCAGCUGGACGUCUUUUAUGUAUCGCAAGCUGUCCCUUUCUAUCAAAUUUCCACUAAUUGUAGAAGUUUAUUAAAACUAAAUAUGAGUGCACAGCUUUUCCUUUCCCAGCAUUCAGGUGUUCUUGUCAUUAAAAACCAUGACUCACUCCACCCUGUUCCACAGUCCUGAGUGCUCUGAAAUGAGGAAAGAGAUGAACCAACCCAGUAGGUGUUAGGAGGAAUGGAGACAACAGUGUUGGAAGACAAUUGUUAGGGGUUAAGAUUGUGUGUGACCACAGACAUUAGUCAGAGAGUAGGCAAGCCAAGGAGUAAGUAAGACAUGGUCUGAUCAUGGCCAGGGAGAAGCAGGAAGGCAGAUUGAACUGCAGUGUGUCUCUAAUGGAGAACUAUUUUCCAGUUAAAGGAAGAAAACAUAAAUUAGUCAUCUGUUGCACAUCUGAGGCCAGCCCCAUCUGCUCAUUCUAUGCCUAAGGUCUUCUGGGUCUUGGUGAGGGAAGAGGGCAGCUCUCAGUGCUGCUGCUGCUGCUGCUGUUCGUAGGUUGGAAGGAUCUGGCGGAGGUUGCUUUUAAGCCUGGAGGCCUACUAGAGUGCAGUUCACUUACAGGUAUAAUGGACAGGGUCAUGUUUGAUAAAACCCAAGUUGGUUUCAUAUGGAAAAGCAAAUGGUAUCUUUCUGCAGCUCUGUCUAUGUGUGUACAGGCUUUAAAGGAUGACAGCCGGGACAGUGGGCUCCUGGAGGGUCAUUAGCGCUCGGGUCUCAGUAGUUCACUGGACUCUACAAACUGCAGCCCGGGAGCACAGACCAAGCAGCUGCUCCCUACUCCUCAAAAGGAUGGCAUGGAUUCUGUCACUGGGAAUAUGGGAGCUUGAGAUAGGGCCUUGCAAUGUAGUUCAAGCUGGUGGUAAACUCACAGCAAUCCUCCUGCCUUAGCCUCCGGUGUGCUGGGAUUUACAGGCAUGUACCACCACACCAUACUGUUGACCCUCUUUUACUGGAAUGAUCAGUUUUGUACCGGGUAUGUGGCAUAGUGUUUUGGUUAUCAGUAAUCCUUAGGAACAUUUUCAUACAUUGCCAGGGGGAGCGGGGAGUCAGCAUUUGUGGAACAAAGCAAAAGCGACAAUACCUCGGGAAGCUGUGUAGGUGUUCAGAGCUGGCAACGCAAGUCCCAGUUACAGAGGAAAACACCACUUACCC